This 389-nucleotide ribosomal RNA is filed under the name Chaetoceros sp. Its description in RNAcentral is "partial small subunit ribosomal RNA". It matches the Rfam family "Eukaryotic small subunit ribosomal RNA", at positions 582 to 975 of the family's 1831-position model. The record is from RNAcentral. Lineage: Eukaryota; Bacillariophyta; Thalassiosirophyceae; Chaetocerotales; Chaetocerotaceae.
AUUCCAGCUCCAAUAGCGUAUAUUAAAGUUGCUGCAGUUAAAAAGCUCGUAGUUGCAUUUCCGAGGCAAGGGAUUAGUCCGACCUUUGGUGGGUAUUUAAUCCUCUUGCCUCGUCCUUGAGUGGUGCUUCUUGGUAUUAAGUUAUCGAGGAGAUAGCCGCUCAUCGUUUACUGUGAGAAAAUUAGAGUGUUCAAAGCAGGCUUAUGCCGUUGAAUAUAUUAGCAUGGAAUAAUAAGAUAGGACCUCGGUACUAUUUUGUUGGUUUGAGAACCAAGGUAAUGAUGAAUAGGGACAGUUGGGGGUAUUCGUAUUCAGUUGUCAGAGGUGAAAUUCUUAGAUUUACGGAAGACGAACUACUGCGAAAGCAUUUACCAAGGAUGUUUUCAUCG